RNAcentral lists this ribosomal RNA (460 nucleotides) under uncultured bacterium. RNAcentral's name for it is "partial 16S ribosomal RNA". It matches the Rfam family "Bacterial small subunit ribosomal RNA", at positions 338 to 795 of the family's 1533-position model. The record is from RNAcentral.
CCUACGGGCGGCAGCAGUGAGGAAUAUUGGUCAAUGGGCGAGAGCCUGAACCAGCCAAGUCGCGUGAAGGAUGAAGGACCUAUGGUUUGUAAACUUCUUUUAUAUGGGAGUAAAGUGAGGCACGUGUUCCUUUUUGUAUGUACCAUAUGAAUAAGCAUCGGCUAACUCCGGGCCAGCAGCCGCGGUAAUACGGAGGAUGCGAGCGUUAUCCGGAUUUAUUGGGGUUAAAGGGUGCGUAGGUGGGUAAAUAAGUCAGCGGGGAAAGUUUGUGGCUCAACCACAGAAUUGCCGUUGAAACUGGUUGACUUGAGUGUAUGUGAGGUAGGCGGAAUGCGUGGUGUAGCGGUGGAAUGCAUAGAUAUCACGCAGAACUCCGAUUGCGAAGGCAGCUUACUAGACUAUAACUGACACUGAAGCACGAAAGCGUGGGGAUCAAACAGGAUUAGAUACCCUAGUAGUC